Molecule: non-coding RNA, 384 nt
Organism: Labrus bergylta (ballan wrasse)
Lineage: Eukaryota; Metazoa; Chordata; Actinopteri; Labriformes; Labridae
Source: RefSeq, a predicted model, not a curated record
CAGACUGCGGUGUUUGAGCUCCUGUCGACCUGGACGCUCAGGAGCACUUUGACGGGUGAGGAGACGGGAUAUCAAACAGUUUGAGAGGACCAUGAAGGCACAUCUGGCUCAUCAACCUUUCCUUCCCUCUGCAAACAAAUUUCUGCAGUUCAAAUGGGACAAGGCUUCAUAUGACUUACACAGGGAAAAGGUGAAGUCAGCAAAAUCAGUGUUAAACACCACUGCACCGAAGACCUACCCUCACCUGACUCAGGGCCUGAAGAAACGAAAGCUUGCAGAGGAAUGGAACAUGAAGGUGCAGAGGGAAAACGAUAUUCUUCUUGAAAAGAUAUUUCACAUCAUGAAGACAUCUGGAGGAGUUGACGACAGGAAUUAUUAUAAAAG